AAUUAUAAAUGUCAUUGUUUCCUCUGUCAUAGCUUAUGUGUCAAGAUUCAUCAAGAGACGUAUAUUUCAAAAUAAUUAUUUUUAAAAAUGAAUCAAUUAUUUAAAAUAUUAAUUGCGGUGAUGUCGUGUUGUUUUUUGUUUGAAACUUUUGUGACAGCUUUUCGGAUACAACGAAUCAUGAACGAUGAUGAGAAUCGCAGCGAUCCUAGAACAUACCCACCAAUUAUAGAAUAUGAUCCAAAACCAAAUUACGUUCCCUUUUUGGAAAGCAGUAAAUUAUUGCGUAUUUACCGCACCAAUAUAACAACAUAGUUACCUAAUUAUUGUUAUAGUAACUAUCGUGAAAAUUAUUAGUUUUUAAAUAAUGCAACGGUUAUUGACGCGUAUCUAUAGGGAUCGCCCGACUAGUUUCGGCCUCAACCGGAGUCCUUAAUCAUGAGCUGACGCGGCAGGAUUGAUAAAUACGCGUGAGUAAACCGUUGCAUCAUUAAUAACAUACGCAGUUAAAAAAUAAAGGAAAGCAGCCGUUUAUAAAGACGUA
Long non-coding RNA from Trichoplusia ni (cabbage looper), 541 nucleotides. RefSeq lists it as uncharacterized. Lineage: Eukaryota; Metazoa; Arthropoda; Insecta; Lepidoptera; Noctuidae. The transcript is spliced from 2 exons. The record is from RefSeq and is a predicted model, not a curated record.